CCCUGCCAUUUGUACACACCGCCCGUCGCUCCUACCGAUUGAAUGGUCCGGCGAGCACUCUGAAAUUACUGUGUUUAUCACAAUGUAAUGAAAUUGUGCAAACCUUAUCAUUUAGAGGAAGGAGAAGUCGUAAC
Molecule: ribosomal RNA, 134 nt
Filed under: uncultured eukaryote
Lineage: Eukaryota
Description: partial small subunit ribosomal RNA
Rfam family: Eukaryotic small subunit ribosomal RNA
Source: RNAcentral